GAUGAACGCUGGCGGCGUGCCUAAUACAUGCAAGUCGAGCGAACGGACGAGAAGCUUGCUUCUCUGAUGUUAGCGGCGGACGGGUGAGUAACACGUGUAUAACCUACCUAUAAGACUGGUAUAACUUCGGGAAACCGGAUCUAAUACCGGAUAAUAUUUUGAACCGCAUGGUUCAAAAGUGAAAGACGGUCUUGCUGUCACUUAUAGAUGGAUCCGCGCUGCAUUAGCUAGUUGGUAAGGUAACGGCUUACCAAGGCAACGAUGCAUAGCCGAACUGAGAGGCUGAUCGGCCACACUGGAACUGAGACACGGUCCAGACUACUACGGGAGGCAGCAGUAGGGAAUCUUCCGCAAUGGGCGAAAGCCUGACGGAGCAACGCCGCGUGAGUGAUGACGGUCUUCGGAUCGUAAAACUCUGUUAUUAGGGAAGAACCUAUGUGUAAGUAACUGUGCACAUCUUGACGGUACCUAAUCAGAAAGCCACGGCUAACUACGUG
Molecule: ribosomal RNA, 497 nt
Filed under: uncultured bacterium
Lineage: Bacteria
Description: partial 16S ribosomal RNA
Rfam family: Bacterial small subunit ribosomal RNA
Source: RNAcentral